CAGGCGGGGUAGAAUUGGAAAGGGAGAACCAAGUUAACUGAUGACCAAAAUAACAUUAUUACACCAAUAAAUAUAUCUGUAUUUGAAUGCAUAAAAUAGCAUUUAUACCAAACAUCAGACAACCAAAAACCAGCACUGCAAUCACUAGAUAGAUCCCUCAUGGUUAUUAUUCUUAAACGGUGUAUGGAGUAUUUCAUACAGUGGAAUAAACUCUCAAGACCUAACCCAGACAUCAUUCCUAUUUUUCUCCCCUUUGUGUCCCCAAAGGUCCUGAUCCCAACUCCAGCCUGGAAGGAGGUAAGUUAAUUGUGGGAAAGGGAGGGAGGGAGGCACAGAGGGGAGGGAUUGCUGAAAAUAAGACUCCAGAGGACCUAGCCCAGAACGGAGGGUAGCCGAGCUGGCCAUCUUAAUGUGCAGGCUUCCCCAAGUGCUGUGUCUGGCAGCCCUCCAUGCCAGCGCAGGAGGAAAAUCUGGUUGAAGGGAGAGCAGGGAACUUUUAUGAUGCCCAAAGAUUUCCCCAAGACAGAUGUUUUUGCUUCUUGGCAUUGCAUUUCUGGAGGGGCAGAGCAAUGGAGUCACUGUCAUUGAAAAUGACUGUGUCCCUGUGGUGAAAUUGGCCCAGCCAGGACUGGUAAUACAUUGAGGUGGUUCCCAAGUUUGGUUGGCUUCCUAGAAGUUGAAAGCCUUAUUUCUCUGAGCACAUUUCCCUUUAAUCACUGUGCUUUCCAGAGACCCAGGCUUCAGCUGUAUCCAGCACAAAACAAUUUGGGUACAAGCCACAAAGAGGACUCUAACAGCAUGCAUAAAGACUCCAACUCCCUGAAAUUGAUGUUUUUCUUCUCAUCACUGCCA
RNAcentral lists this long non-coding RNA (852 nucleotides) under Homo sapiens (human). Its description in RNAcentral is "HSALNT0043825". The record is from RNAcentral. Lineage: Eukaryota; Metazoa; Chordata; Mammalia; Primates; Hominidae.